Molecule: transfer RNA, 72 nt
Filed under: Bacteroidota bacterium
Lineage: Bacteria; Pseudomonadati; Bacteroidota
Also listed under: 3 other names
Description: tRNA-Thr
Rfam family: tRNA
About the family: Transfer RNA (tRNA) molecules are approximately 80 nucleotides in length.
Source: RNAcentral
GCUGAUGUAGCUCAGGGGUAGAGCACUUCCUUGGUAAGGAAGAGGUCAUGGGUUCAAUUCCCAUCAUCAGCU